Molecule: ribosomal RNA, 491 nt
Filed under: uncultured bacterium
Lineage: Bacteria
Description: partial 16S ribosomal RNA
Rfam family: Bacterial small subunit ribosomal RNA
Source: RNAcentral
AGUGAACGCUGGCGGUAGGCCUAACACAUGCAAGUCGAACGGCAGCACAGUAAGAGCUUGCUCUUACGGGUGGCGAGUGGCGGACGGGUGAGGAAUACAUCGGAAUCUACUUUUUCGUGGGGGAUAACGUAGGGAAACUUACGCUAAUACCGCAUACGACCUACGGGUGAAAGCAGGGGAUCUUCGGACCUUGCGCGAUUGAAUGAGCCGAUGUCGGAUUAGCUAGUUGGCGGGGUAAAGGCCCACCAAGGCGACGAUCCGUAGCUGGUCUGAGAGGAUGAUCAGCCACACUGGAACUGAGACACGGUCCAGACUCCUACGGGAGGCAGCAGUGGGGAAUAUUGGACAAUGGGCGCAAGCCUGAUCCAGCCAUAUCGCGUGGGUGAAGAAGGCCUUCGGGUUGUAAAGCCCUUUUGUUGGGAAAGAAAAGCAGCAGGUUAAUACCCCGCUGUUCUGACGGUACCCAAAGAAUAAACACCGGCGAACUUCGU